AUUGGACCUAUGGUCUCCUCUUGGUCCCAAGAAUAAUUUUCCAUGAUUGAUCAUUUAAUUGACUAAUAAAGUUAUUGUAAUUAAAUUCCACUUAUAAUGCUGAGAGAUAGUCCAUUCAAUAAUGCAGGAAUUAAUACAUAAUUACAUUUGUGAUAUUGAUUAGAGAGUGAGAUAAAGCUAGGUGGUGAGGAUCGGAGGAAGGUAAUCAGAUUUGGUGCCUAGGAUGCGAGCCUUGGUGUCAGGGAAAUACUCGGUUCCUGGCAUAGUUGUAACGGCUCCAUCGUUGGUCACUUCAAUGGGAUAGCGAAGGAGGUGGCCCAUGAGAUCCUGGUCGAAAGCUUCACUUGCAUAAAUUUCCCAGAGUUCAUCAGCAAUCUUAUUCACCGUCUGGACACACUCAACGCUUUCAGGAUGGUGGAAGGAACGCUCAAUGAAUCCAAGGUGUUCAUACCAGAGUGCCAAUCUUAAACCAUUUAUCUGACCCCUGGCUGGCUGUGUUGUUGCCAAAUGGUGUGGUUGGAACCCUCCCAUUGCAAUUUCAGAGUCCCUUGCGCCAUCCAUUGACCUCUGGUUGAUGUUUGCGGAUCCAAUGAUUAUGUACUCAUCAUCAACAAUCAUCAUCUUCGCAUGAACGUAGAUCAUGAAUCGACGGGCCUGCUGAGCUCUGCUGUAAUUAGAAUCGGGGUCCGGUGUUUCUGGAUGCGCAUAUUCUCCUAUCUUCUUUGUCUCCCUGUUCCCAAGGCAGAAAAACGACAAGUAAUCCCUUGGAUGAUGUUGAAGUCCAUUUCUUCUAAGGGCAUCAGAAAUAUCAGAAUACAUCAUCUCCAUUGUUCUUCUUUGCCAAUCUAGUAUUGCCUGAACAGAAGCACUCUCAGGUAUGCCUUCUGGCCACAUUGGGAUCACAAUGUAGACAGUAAACCUUUCUCCUGCGUCUAUCUUACUAGCUAUCUUCAGCGACAGCUCCUUUGGGAUAAGAUGCAAGGCAUUGAUAUCCUUGACCUUGAUAUCAUUUGAUUUCCAGCCAAAUGAACUUCCGAGGAAAUACUGAUUUUCGAUGUAGAUAAAAUUCUUUGCCCGCCGAAUGGCGUUGAUAUAAGCAUCUUGAAUGCUUCUGUCAAUGAUGUUGUCCUUCCCACUGACAAGGCCAGAUACAGCUACUUCCUCAGGUCUCGUAGGGAAGCCAACAACAGCUCCACCAUCAAUGGAACGGAACAACUGGACAUUCCAUGUAUCAGUGUCCGAUGAUUGCAACACCGGCAAUGGGCGGGUUGUAUACUCUUCCAGGGUCUGUUGUGGAAUUAAGAAACUUUCCCCAACUUGCUUUUUCCACCUUUGCUCGAAAUUGUAGAGGACAUCCCAUGCGACAGGUCCUUCUAGCUUGCAAUGAAUAUCAUGCCAAGGCUCCCUUGGACCUCCUUUCUUGAUGGAGGAGCCAGGAAAGUUGGGUUGAUGAAAAUCAUCAUGAUGGAUUGUGUCCAAGGUCUUGAAUAGAGGAUGGUCUUGUGUAUCGUAUCUCCCAUCGCAAAGAUCAAUGCCUCCAACAAAACUCACUAUUCUCCUUUUCUGUGAUGUGCUAUCAGGCAUUUCACAGUCGACAACCACUGUCUUCUGGUGGUGAGUAAACAUGGUAGAGAUUUCAAAUCCCUGAAUUAUGCUUCUUCCAUCGUCGGGAUUGCGGGGGCAUAGAAAGCAAUGCACGUUCGUGUUCCUGAAGUAGUUUUCAGUUUCUUGAUCAUGGGUUGCCAUUAGGCCAUCCUUCUUCAGUUCCUCAACAGAGGUUCUGUCAUCCCAAACGAGCAUAAGAACUCUCACACCUUCAUCAGCCUUCUUCUUGAGCAGAUCCCCAAGUUUUAGGUCACCUCCUGGUUUUCGCCUAUGAGGAUCCCUAACCAAAGUUAUCUCAGUAUAAACAGACCACCCAGUUAUGUAAAUCAGGUACUUGGCAUUAGUGAUGGCAUCAAAGAUGUCUUCCCAGCAUCUGUGAGCUUCAUAGGUCUUUCCUUCUAUUGGAAUCCUAGGAAUAAAACUGUUAGGGACAUGAGCAUCCUGAUACAGAGUAACCUGGCAACCCUGUCGUUGAUUGAAGAAUGUGUAAGGAACUCCAUCAUAGCGUGGAUUCUUGAUUCCCUGAGACCAAUUACUGUCAUGGGCAGCACUCAAGAAGUGCAGCUUAACAUGGAUCCUAGAGCCAAUGGGGUUGCGAUAUACAUCUAAUAUAUCUACCCAUUUGUCAACAAUGUACCCUUUGAUGACAUCUUCAACAGGUAUAUAAGCUCUUCCAAUCAGCUCUGCCCCAACAACUUGGUCAUCUUUUACUGUGAAAAUAACAUGUGAGAUCAAAUGGGCACAAUAUAUGUUGAAGGACUCGUACCACUGAGGGUUAUAGGGUUGAUUUUCUAUCAUUCUAGUUCUUCCAACCCUUGCCUUGUCCAGAUCAACUGUUGCAUAGAGUCUAGAACCAACAAUCUCAGGCCUGCAAAGCACCAUUCUCUUGACUUUGGAUAGAAAUUUUUUCCCACAACUUUUUUUGUCCAGUACCCUUGCUGAAGAAAUUGAAUCCACACCCAUUUUGUAUCCUGUCAACCUCAAAUAUCGUCACAGAAAGGGUCCCAUGGAGCAAACUAGGCAUCCUUUUCACCC
This 2640-nucleotide unclassified non-coding RNA is filed under the name Hevea brasiliensis (rubber tree). Lineage: Eukaryota; Viridiplantae; Streptophyta; Magnoliopsida; Malpighiales; Euphorbiaceae. The record is from RNAcentral.